CAUAAGUAAUGAUAAUCAUAUUUUGGCAUAAAUAAAAAAUUACAAUCAUACAUAUGUCAUAAAUAAUUUCUCAUUUUAAGUCCAUAUUCUUGAUAAUUAUUAAUUUCCAAAAUAUAUAAAUGCACCAAACCAACGGCCACUAUAAAGUGUUCAGUGUUAAAGAAAAAACUACAUUAUAAUAUAAACAUACCUGAUAAUACAAACAACAACUACUGGAAUCCUGCAAACUAAUAUAGGUUCACAGGUAAACCAGAUGUAGAAGUAAUGGUCUAGCCCAGCUUUCUUGACCAUCAUCUUCUGAAAAAUAAAAUUAAAAACCACAAAGUAUCUUGACCAAAAAAUACAUGUAAAUACAAUAUUUUAUAAUUACAAAUGAUUAACUACACCUAUAAAAAAGUUCCUUAAAACUGAAAC
This 414-nucleotide long non-coding RNA is filed under the name Mytilus galloprovincialis (Mediterranean mussel). The record is from RNAcentral. Lineage: Eukaryota; Metazoa; Mollusca; Bivalvia; Mytilida; Mytilidae.